This 459-nucleotide ribosomal RNA is filed under the name uncultured bacterium. RNAcentral describes it as "SSU rRNA". It matches the Rfam family "Bacterial small subunit ribosomal RNA", at positions 26 to 518 of the family's 1533-position model. The record is from RNAcentral.
AGAAUCAACGCUGGCGGCGUGCCUAACACAUGCAAGUCGAACGAGAAAGUGGAGCAAUCCAUGAGUAAAGUGGCGCACGGGUGAGUAACACGUGACUAACCUACCUUUUAGUGGGGGAUAACCUAGGGAAACCUGGGCUAAUACCGCAUAACACUUACGAGUCAAAGCAGCAAUGCGCUGAAAGAGGGGGUCGCGGCCGAUUAGCUAGUUGGCGGGGUAAUGGCCCACCAAGGCAGUGAUCGGUAUCCGGCCUGAGAGGGCGCACGGACACACUGGAACUGAAACACGGUCCAGACUCCUACGGGAGGCAGCAGUGGGGAAUUUUGCGCAAUGGGGGAAACCCUGACGCAGCAACGCCGCGUGGAGGAUGAAGUCCCUUGGGACGUAAACUCCUUUCGAUCGGGACGAUAAUGACGGUACCGGAAGAAGAGCCCCGGCUAACUUCGCGUCAGCAGCCGC